AGAAUAUUAUUGUUGAAUUUUAAAUUGGGAUUAUUGGAAUGUGAAAAUUAUUUUAAAAUAGUUGAUUUAUUGAAAUUUGGUCUGAAAUUUCUAAAACUGCUGAAAUUGGGUUGAAAUUGGGAUUGGGUGUGAAAUUGUUGAAAUUGGGAAUUUGGUCUGUAAUUGCUGAAAUUAGUGAAUUUGGGAUUAAAUUUGGGAUUGAUUUUAAACCAUCAUAGUUAUGUUAAUCGACUCAUGUUGGGAUUGAUUUUGGAUUACCUUGAUAAUUUGGGACUGCCUACUUAUGUUAUGUAUAUAUGAAUAUUUUUCAUCAAUAUGUUGUGGACUACCUUGAUAAUUAGGGACUGCCUUACUUAUAUUGUGGACUACUUUUAUCUUGUCUACUGAUUCUUGCUGAUAUGGACUGCAUAUAAUUAAAUUGGUAUAUUUGCUAUUUUCGACAGAAUUUCUGUCAGAAUUAUUCAUUUGCAAAAUUUGCGGGCCUUGAAAGUAUAUUUAUGUAUUAUUUAAUUACUUUCCCAAUAUUAAAAUAAACUAAGUAACAUUUACUUAGUUUUUUACUACUAAAAUAAAUUAAAAAGAACUAAGUAGUAUUCAUUUAGUUUUAUCACUAAUAAAUAAAAUAAAAUAAUAUAA
Molecule: long non-coding RNA, 636 nt
Filed under: Panax ginseng (ginseng)
Lineage: Eukaryota; Viridiplantae; Streptophyta; Magnoliopsida; Apiales; Araliaceae
Description: long non-coding RNA (PGIN_LNC013794)
Source: RNAcentral